Molecule: long non-coding RNA, 375 nt
Filed under: Strongylocentrotus purpuratus (purple sea urchin)
Lineage: Eukaryota; Metazoa; Echinodermata; Echinoidea; Camarodonta; Strongylocentrotidae
Description: uncharacterized LOC115928427
Source: RNAcentral
CUACUCGCACAAACUGAGAAGAUUUAGUUCAUUGAGAAUGGAUGGAAACUGAUGAAGAGCUGGAAGGAGCUAACUGAUGAGUAGACAUUACAACAUUUCUUAUAUUUUCAAGAUGAAGCUGAAAGUCCCAUGCAGGAUGAUGCUUCUCUACAGUGGAUGAUGAAAGCAUGCUGAUUACAAACCCAGGAGAGGAAUAAAGAACAUAUAUUGACAGAAUCAUAUCUAGAGAUGUGGGCCUACUGCACUUCAUACAAGCAAGUGUGCUAAUAUACCAUACUUGGGUUAUCAUCACAGCCCUUUCUUCUGAAAACUAGCCUACAACUUCAUCGAUGAAUGCAGAAGACAUCUACAUGGGACUACGUCUUAAAGAUGCCC